This 291-nucleotide ribosomal RNA is filed under the name Staphylococcus pseudintermedius. RNAcentral's name for it is "partial 23S ribosomal RNA". It matches the Rfam family "Bacterial large subunit ribosomal RNA", at positions 1239 to 1528 of the family's 2925-position model. Lineage: Bacteria; Bacillati; Bacillota; Bacilli; Caryophanales; Staphylococcaceae. The record is from RNAcentral.
UUCUAAGGGCGUUGAAGCAUGAUCGCAAGGACAUGUGGAGCGCUUAGAAGUGAGAAUGCCGGUGUGAGUAGCGAAAGACGGGUGAGAAUCCCGUCCACCGAUUGACUAAGGUUUCCAGAGGAAGGCUCGUCCGCUCUGGGUUAGUCGGGUCCUAAGCUGAGGCCGACAGGCGUAGGCGAUGGAUAACAGGUUGAUAUUCCUGUACCACCAUUAUUCGUUUUAAGCGAUGGGGGGACGCAGUAGGAUAGGCGAAGCGUGCUGUUGGAGUGCACGUCCAAGCAGUGAGAUUGA